RNAcentral lists this ribosomal RNA (495 nucleotides) under uncultured bacterium. Its description in RNAcentral is "partial 16S ribosomal RNA". It matches the Rfam family "Bacterial small subunit ribosomal RNA", at positions 28 to 523 of the family's 1533-position model. The record is from RNAcentral.
GAUGAACGCUAGCGGGAGGCCUAACACAUGCAAGCCGAGCGGUAUUGUUUCUUCGGAAAUGAGAGAGCGGCGUACGGGUGCGUAACACGUGUGCAACCUGCCUUUAUCUGGGGGAUAGCCUUUCGAAAGGAAGAUUAAUACUCCAUAAUAUAUUGAACGGCAUCGUUUAAUAUUGAAAGCUCCGGCGGAUAGAGAUGGGCACGCGCAAGAUUAGCUAGUUGGUGAGGUAACGGCUCACCAAGGCGAUGAUCUUUAGGGGGCCUGAGAGGGUGAUCCCCCACACUGGUACGGGGACACGGACCAGACUCCUACGGGAGGCAGCAGUGAGGAAUAUUGGUCAAUGGGUGCAAGCCUGAACCAGCCAUCCCGCGUGAAGGACGACUGCCCUAUGGGUUGUAAACUUCUUUUGUAUAGGGAUAAACCUACCCUCGGGAGGGUAGCUGAAGGUACUAUACGAAUAAGCACCGGCUAACUCCGUGCCAGCCGCCGCAGUAA